GUCAUUGUGCCUGUCCAGAGGCCUCUCAUAACUACUAAAACUCUUCUCUCUAAAGCUCAAAGUUCAGAGAAGAAACUCUAGGCUGUCCUUUGUAAGGAGUGGCCCAUGAUAGGUGAAAGAAUAGGCAACAGAAUCCAUGAUGACUGCGUGAAGGGUUCUAUCCAUUUGGAACAAAGGCAACUAGGAAUCUAUCCCAGAAAAAAGCAUGGUUCUGAAACCUUUACUGAUGCUUUGAUUAUCUACAGAAUCCCAUAAGAAAGAAACUUUAGAAGCAGAGACUGGAGAGAAUCUGAUCCCCUAACCCAGAUGAGGCAGCAUCACACUAAGGAGUGCUUACUUUCUGCCAGUCCCAAUGAUAAUCCAGUGUAAGGUGAGAAGAGCUACCUAUUUCAAUGUUGCUGUUGGAGGGAGGGGAUCUGGAGAGUGAAAUGGAAAGAUAGAGAACACUAUGAAGUAUUCACAACAGAAUCUGUCUGCUGGGCUCUGUGAACAUAUAUAUUUCUUCUUUUUAUAGUAAUUUUUCAUUUGGUAUUCAUUUGUGCAACUGAUAAUGUUAGUAAAUGGACAUAAACUUUAGUCCCAAACUUUGGACUCAAGUGUUUGAAUAUGUAUUUGUACCCUGAAUUGAAA
Canis lupus familiaris (dog) is the source of this 630-nucleotide long non-coding RNA. RefSeq lists it as uncharacterized. NCBI's taxonomy places the organism in Eukaryota, Metazoa, Chordata, Mammalia, Carnivora, Canidae. The record is from RefSeq and is a predicted model, not a curated record. The transcript is spliced from 3 exons.